RNAcentral lists this ribosomal RNA (481 nucleotides) under Scotiomyia sp. SNK-2009. Its description in RNAcentral is "partial 12S ribosomal RNA". The stretch from base 1 to 384 matches the Rfam family "Microsporidia small subunit ribosomal RNA", at positions 780 to 1311 of the family's 1311-position model. The record is from RNAcentral. Lineage: Eukaryota; Metazoa; Arthropoda; Insecta; Diptera; Dolichopodidae.
UUUGGCGGUACUUUAGCCNAUUCCGAGGAACUUGUGGAGUAAUCGAUAAUCCACGAUGGACCUUACUUGACUUUGUUUAAUUCAGUAUGUAUACCGCCGUUAUUUGAAGAUUUUAUAAGAAUUUAAAUUUUCGAGAUGUUUAAUUAAACUGUAUAUCAGGUCAAGGUGCAGCUUAUAGUUAAGUUUUCAUGAGUUACAAUAAUUUUAUUUAUACGGAUUAUAAUAGUUUAAAAUUUUUUUGAAGGUGGAUUUGAUAGUAAAUUUCUAAAGAUAAAGAUUUUGAUUUUAGCUCUAAGGUAUGCACACAUCGCCCGUCGCUCUUGUUAAUAAAAUAAGAUAAGUCGUAACAUAGUAGAUGUACUGGAAAGUGUAUCUAGAAUGACAAUUUAAAGCUUAUUUAGUAAAGUAUUUCGUUUACAUUGGAAUGAUUGUUGUGCAAUUCAACAUAGAUUGAUGUUAUUUAAUUAUUAAUGUUUUUUAA